Molecule: unclassified non-coding RNA, 263 nt
Filed under: plant metagenome
Description: partial contains small subunit ribosomal RNA, internal transcribed spacer 1, and 5.8S ribosomal RNA
Source: RNAcentral
UUUCCGUAGGUGUACCUGCGGAAGGAUCAUUAUUGUAUAACCGAGGUGCGAGGGCUGUCGCUGACCCGAAAGGUCGUGCACGCCUGAGUGCCCUCACACACAUCCAUCUCACCCCUAUGUGCACCACCGCGUGGGUCCCCCUUUGGCUUGUUCGGAGGGGGGCUUACGUUUUCACACAAACUUUGUAUGCAGUGUAGAAUGUAUUUUUUGUUUUUGCGAUCACGCAAUCAAUACAACUUUCAACAACGGAUCUCUUGGCUCUC